Molecule: ribosomal RNA, 477 nt
Filed under: uncultured bacterium
Lineage: Bacteria
Description: partial 16S ribosomal RNA
Rfam family: Bacterial small subunit ribosomal RNA
Source: RNAcentral
GAUGAACGCUGGCGGCGUGCCUAAUACAUGCAAGUCGAGCGAACGGACGAGAAGCUUGCUUCUCUGAUGUUAGCGGCGGACGGGUGAGUAACACGUGGAUAACCUACCUAUAAGACUGGGAUAACUUCGGGAAACCGUAGCUAAUACCGGAUAAUAUUUUGAACCGCAUGGUUCAAAAGUGAAAGACGGUCUUGCUGUCACUUAUAGAUGGAUCCGCGCUGCAUUAGCUAGUUGGUAAGGUAACGGCUUACCAAGGCAACGAUGCAUAGCCGACCUGAGAGGGUGAUCGGCCACACUGGAACUGAGACACGGUCCAGACUCCUACGGGAGGCAGCAGUAGGGAAUCUUCCGCAAUGGGCGAAAGCCUGACGGAGCAACGCCGCGUGAGGGAUGACGGCCUUCGGGUUGUAAACCGCUUUCGCCUGUGACGAAGCGUGAGUGACGGUAAUGGGUAAAGAAGCACCGGCUAACUACGUG